RNAcentral lists this microRNA (25 nucleotides) under Oryzias latipes (Japanese medaka). RNAcentral describes it as "ola-miR-146a-5p". Its record names the gene ola-miR-146a-5p. Lineage: Eukaryota; Metazoa; Chordata; Actinopteri; Beloniformes; Adrianichthyidae. The record is from miRBase by way of RNAcentral.
UGAGAACUGAAUUCCAUAGAUGGUA